Molecule: ribosomal RNA, 274 nt
Filed under: uncultured bacterium
Lineage: Bacteria
Description: partial 16S ribosomal RNA
Rfam family: Bacterial small subunit ribosomal RNA
Source: RNAcentral
AUACGGAGGGUGCGAGCGUUGUUCGGAAUCACUGGGCGUAAAGGACGCGCAGGCGGUUUGUCAAGUCAGAUGUGAAAGGCCACGGCUCAACCGUGGAGGUGCAUCUGAAACUGGCAGACUUGAGUACCGGAGGGGAAAGUGGAAUUCCCGGUGUAGAGGUGAAAUUCGUAGAUAUCGGGAGGAACACCGGAGGCGAAGGCGACUUUCUGGACGGAUACUGACGCUGAGGCGCGAAAGCGUGGGGAGCAAACAGGAUUAGAAACCCUAGUAGUCC